This 657-nucleotide ribosomal RNA is filed under the name Pseudomonas juntendi. RNAcentral's name for it is "bacterial SSU rRNA". It matches the Rfam family "Bacterial small subunit ribosomal RNA", at positions 56 to 708 of the family's 1533-position model. Lineage: Bacteria; Pseudomonadati; Pseudomonadota; Gammaproteobacteria; Pseudomonadales; Pseudomonadaceae. The record is from RNAcentral.
UGCAAGUCGAGCGGAUGAAGGUAGCUUGCUACUGGAUUCAGCGGCGGACGGGUGAGUAAUGCCUAGGAAUCUGCCUGGUAGUGGGGGACAACGUUUCGAAAGGAACGCUAAUACCGCAUACGUCCUACGGGAGAAAGCAGGGGACCUUCGGGCCUUGCGCUAUCAGAUGAGCCUAGGUCGGAUUAGCUAGUUGGUGAGGUAAUGGCUCACCAAGGCGACGAUCCGUAACUGGUCUGAGAGGAUGAUCAGUCACACUGGAACUGAGACACGGUCCAGACUCCUACGGGAGGCAGCAGUGGGGAAUAUUGGACAAUGGGCGAAAGCCUGAUCCAGCCAUGCCGCGUGUGUGAAGAAGGUCUUCGGAUUGUAAAGCACUUUAAGUUGGGAGGAAGGGCAGUAAGUUAAUACCUUGCUGUUUUGACGUUACCGACAGAAUAAGCACCGGCUAACUCUGUGCCAGCAGCCGCGGUAAUACAGAGGGUGCAAGCGUUAAUCGGAAUUACUGGGCGUAAAGCGCGCGUAGGUGGUUUGUUAAGUUGGAUGUGAAAGCCCCGGGCUCAACCUGGGAACUGCAUCCAAAACUGGCAAGCUAGAGUACGGUAGAGGGUGGUGGAAUUUCCUGUGUAGCGGUGAAAUGCGUAGAUAUAGGAAGGAACA